CCUACGGGAGGCAGCAGUGAGGAAUAUUUGUCAAUGGACGAGAGUCUGAACCAGCCAAGUAGCGUGAAGGAUGACUGCCCUAUGGGUUGUAAACUUCUUUUAUAUGGGAAUAAAAUGUUCCACGUGUGGGAUUUUGUAUGUACCAUAUGAAUAAGGAACGGCUAACUCCGUGCCAGCAGCCGUGGUAAUACGGAGGAUUCGAGCGUUAUCCGGAUUUAUUGGGGUUAAAGGGAGCGUAGGUGGAUUGUUAAGUCAGUUGUGAAAGUUUGCGGCUCAACCGUAGAAUUGCAGUUGAAACUGGCAGUCUUGAGUACAGUAGAGGUGGGCGGAAUUCGUGGUGUAGCGGUGAAAUGCUUAGAUAUCACGAAGAACUCCGAUUGCGAAGGCAGUUCACUGGACUGCAACUGACACUGAGGCUCGAAAGUGUGGGUAUCAAACAGGAGUAGAUACCCGGGUAGUC
Molecule: ribosomal RNA, 460 nt
Filed under: uncultured bacterium
Lineage: Bacteria
Description: partial 16S ribosomal RNA
Rfam family: Bacterial small subunit ribosomal RNA
Source: RNAcentral